GUGAGUCUUCCUCCCCCAAAAUAUUGGAAAGGUAUAUAAGGAAUGAGUCUUGAUCUUUCAACAUCACAGAAGUUCAAGAAAAUCACACAGAGGUCCAUUGAAAAGAAUUCCUCCUGAUAAUGAGGCUGCUGGCCACGUGAGCUAAGAGGUUCCUGGUGCUGAUACUACAGAGAUGUCCAGGCAGAGCAGACACAUGACUGAGGGUCAGAGGGGGAGGUACAGCCCUCUCCUUACAGAUCGUCACCUGAACAAAGACACUCAGCCUUCUGCAGACAGCAAGGCCAUCCUUUCAGGCCCCAUUACAGAGCUCACUGGGCCCUCAGAUUGGCUUGCAUCUCAGAGGAAGGAUGUGGCCCCAGUUCCAAACUGAUUCUCAUUCCAUCACCUCCUGUGUUUCUCCAUAGAGCCAGUGGCUCAGCCCUUUGUCCAGGCCAACAACACUAUAGUCACAGAACAUAAGGACUCUGUGGUCCUGACCUGCUCCACACAUAAUCCUGGGGUCUCCAUCCACUGGUUCUCAAUGGUCAGAGUCUGAACCUCAUGGAGAAGAUGAAGCUGUCGCAGGAAAACAGCACCCUCACCAUAGACCCUGUCAGGAGGGAGGAUGCAGGGAAUUACCAGUGUGAGGACUCCAACCUGGUCAAUUACUGCAAAAGUGACCCCAUCAGGCUGUAUGUGACCUCUCUGAGGACUUCACUGAUUUACUGAAGCCCUUUACACACUCAGAUGCUCAUUCUGCACAGAGGAGAUGACACCCGGCCCUCUCAUGGGCAGGGAAGCAGCAGAUAAGAGAUGGAAGAAUCACCACAGGUCUCCCUAUGGGGUCCAUCAUUGGCAUUGCAGUCGGGGUCCUGGUAGGACUGGCACUGACAGUUGCCCUGGGGUAUUUCCUGCUCCACACAAGGACUGGAGGACUCCCUGCCCAGCCCCACCACAGCCGUUCCUAUCUAUCAGGAAUUACAACAGCCCGACGCAAACAUUUACUGCCAGAUUAACCACAAAGCAGAAAUGGCUUCUUAGUUUCCCAAGUGCCUGGGGCUCCCUGAGACCCAGGACUCUAACGGGGUCAGGAGCUGAAGUCGGAACCAUAGAACCAGCUCUAGGCCCUGAGGAUAUUCAGGGACAUGGACCAAGGGUCGGGGUCAUCACCAUCCUUCUCUACAAACUGCUGGUGGGCAGCCUGGACUUGGUCAUCUGACUGUGGAGUCACUUCCUGAGGUGAUGUCCACAGCACCCUCCCUGCCCUGAGCGAU
Ailuropoda melanoleuca (giant panda) is the source of this 1253-nucleotide long non-coding RNA. RefSeq lists it as uncharacterized. NCBI's taxonomy places the organism in Eukaryota, Metazoa, Chordata, Mammalia, Carnivora, Ursidae. The transcript has 5 exons. The record is from RefSeq and is a predicted model, not a curated record.